AACGAACGCUGGCGGCGUGCCUAACACAUGCAAGUCGAACGAGAAAGGGGCUUCGGCUCCGAGUAAAGUGGCGCACGGGUGAGUAACACGUGGGUAACCUGCCUCUAAGAUUGGGAUAACUCGUCGAAAGAUGAGCUAAUACCGAAUAAGACCACAGUUCCCGCGGGAACAGGGGUCAAAGGUAGCCUCUGCUUGCAAGCUAUCACUUAGAGAUGGGCCUGCGCACCAUUAGCUAGUUGGUAGGGUAACGGCCUACCAAGGCAAAGAUGGUUAGCUGGUCUGAGAGGAUGAUCAGCCACACUGGAACUGAGACACGGUCCAGACUCCUACGGGAGGCAGCAGUGGGGAAUAUUGCGCAAUGGGCGAAAGCUUGACGCAGCAACGCCGCGUGAGUGAUGAAGGCCUUCGGGUCGUAAAGCUCUGUCGGGAGGAACGAAUGCUCCUGAGGUUAACAGCCUCGGGAGGUGACGGUACCUCCAAAGGAAGCACCGGCUAACUCUGUGC
RNAcentral lists this ribosomal RNA (504 nucleotides) under uncultured bacterium. RNAcentral describes it as "bacterial SSU rRNA". It matches the Rfam family "Bacterial small subunit ribosomal RNA", at positions 29 to 508 of the family's 1533-position model. The record is from RNAcentral.